RNAcentral lists this ribosomal RNA (467 nucleotides) under uncultured Rhodoferax sp. Its description in RNAcentral is "bacterial SSU rRNA". It matches the Rfam family "Bacterial small subunit ribosomal RNA", at positions 916 to 1381 of the family's 1533-position model. Lineage: Bacteria; Pseudomonadati; Pseudomonadota; Betaproteobacteria; Burkholderiales; Comamonadaceae. The record is from RNAcentral.
GACGGGGCCCGCACAAGCGUGGAUGAUGUGGUUUAAUUCGAUGCAACGCGAAAACCUUACCCACCUUUGACAUGUACGGAACCCUUUAGAGAUAGAGGGGUGCUCGAAAGAGAGCCGUAACACAGGUGCUGCAUGGCUGUCGUCAGCUCGUGUCGUGAGAUGUUGGGUUAAGUCCCGCAACGAGCGCAACCCUUGUCAUUAGUUGCUACAUUCAGUUGGGCACUCUAAUGAGACUGCCGGUGACAAGCCGGAGGAAGGUGGGGAUGACGUCAAGUCCUCAUGGCCCUUAUAGGUGGGGCUACACACGUCAUACAAUGGCUGGUACAAAGGGUUGCCAACCCGCGAGGGGGAGCCAAUCCCAUAAAGCCAGUCGUAGUCCGGAUCGUAGUCUGCAACUCGACUACGUGAAGUCGGAAUCGCUAGUAAUCGUGGAUCAGAAUGUCACGGUGAAUACGUUCCCGGGUCUU